GUAAUCCUAGCUACUCGGGAGGCUGAGGCAGGAGAAUUGCUUGAACCCAGGAGGCAGAGGUUGCAGUGAGCCAAGAUCGUGCCACUGCACUCCGGCCUGGGUGACAGAGCAAGACUCCGUCUUGAAAAAAAAAAAGGGAUCUAUACAGACCUCUAGGUUUUUCCAUUUUUCCUUAUUGCCAUCAGUUCAACCUAUUUGUGAGGGGGUGAUUUUUACUUUGAUUUUGGAACUGAGUGACAUGAAACCAGUCUGACAUCUGGUUCCACUGAAUCCCAAACCCUGGUUUUGAGUGUGGCCCGUUGGAUUCGCCUCUAGGACAUUAAUAUUUAUCACAUUACAAUCAAGCCAUGCUUCCAGGAGCGACUUGUUGACUUAGGAGGUUGAUGACAAGCAGCUCAUUCCAGUGGCAUCUUGUGGAUGGGGCACCGCAUGCUCUGCCAAUGCCUCUCUGCUCCGUGGUUGGGCAUUCUGAUGGCAUUCCUGGGUAUCUCACUCACUAGUGGUAAAGAGGGCAGAAGGCAGAGUGGAUUUUUUUUUCUGCCUUUUGCACACAGACACAGAGCCAGGGAGCCAGGAGAGAGCAGUACCUCCCCUGGCCUCCUAGAUCCUGAGUCCCUCAGAGCCCUCUUUGGAGAAAGAACAUCAGUCUGAUUCUUUUUUUUUUUUUUUAGACAGGGUCUCGCUCUGUCACUCAGGCUGGAGUGCAGUGGUGUGAUCUCGGCUCACUGCAACCUCCGCCUCCCAGGUUCAACCAAUUCUCCCACCUCGGCCUCCCCAGUAGCUGGAACUACAGGGGCACGCCAUGACUCUCAGCCAAUUUUUGUAUUUUUUGGUAGAGACAGGGUUUCACCAUGUUGGCCAGGCUGGUCUCAAACUCCUGACCUCAGGUGAUCUGCCUGCCUCGGCCUCCCAAAGUGCUGGGAUUAUGGGCAUGAGCCAGCGUGCCCAGCCCAUUAGUGCAAUUCAACCAACAUGAAUCGAGCAGAGACUAAAUAGAAGGUUUGGUUUAAAGACAAGUCAGUCUCAGAUCCAGACCCCUGGCUCACGGGGAGACAUAAUUUAGAAAUAAUGCAGGAGGUUACAAUGACAGGGAUGUGUACAGACCAUUAUGAGAAUGCAAAAGAGAAGAGGGGGACAGGUCCCUGAGGGCUUCUUAGAAGGGGUGGCACCUGCCCUGAUGACUUCUGAGAGUUUAUAAGGGGACGAGAGCAGGACAAAGGGAACAGCCCAAGCUAGAAGAUGGUUCAAAACAGCAUGAGCUCCCUGCGGAGCUCAGGGUUAUUGGAGGGCGGGGCCAGCAACAGGACUCAGGGUCAGCAGGAACCAGCUGUGAUGGCUGGCAUGACCAAACUCUAUGCUGUGGGAGGUGGAAGGUCAGUGAUGGUGCUGUGGUCAAAGUCCUAUGUCACCAGAUUGUCCUGGCAGGUGGUUUUGAGGAAAGCAGCAACAGGGAUACCAGUAAAAAGGAAGAGUUAUGCAAACCCAAACUAGGGCAGGGCAGUGUGGAUGGAUAAGAGGGGUGGAUUUGAGGCAUCAAGGAUGUGGAAUUCCAAGGUCGGCUGAUGGAUGAAAUACAGGCCGGAUGAGGAAGAGGGAAGAGUCAAGACGCCCUCCAGUGAGGACCCCCAGAGGGUGGGAGCAAGAAGGCAAUGAGAGUAGGUGGAGGGUUACAAAGGGCAGGAUGACACCUUAGUUUGAGCCAUGCUGAGCCCUGUGGCCCCUGUUGGACUUCUAGGUGGAGAUGUCCCCGGGGAUGGGAUGCCUGAGUCUGAGGAAUUGCAGUGCAAAGAGAAUGGUUAAAACCAGGCAGGGUGUAGUGGCUCAUACCUAUAAUCCCAGCACUUUUGGAGGCUGAGGCGGGCAGAUCACUUGAGGUCAGGAGUUCGAGACCAGCCUGGCCAACGUGGGGAAACCCCAUCUCUACUAAAAAUACAAAAAUUAGCUGGGCGUGGUAGCACACGGCUGUAAUCCCAGCUAUGCAGGAAGCUGAGGCAGGAGGAUCGCUUGAGCCUGGGAGAUGGAGGUUGCAGUGAGCCAAGAGUACGCCACUGCCCUCCAGCCUGGGCAAUGGGAGUGAGACCCUGUCAAAAACAAACAAACAAAAAACCCACACCUGUGCAGAGGUCACCAACAGGAGCAUGAGAAUGGAAAUUGAGGACAGAGGAGAAGCUGCACACCCCUGAGAAGGAAGGGAAGGAGGAGGAGAUCCUGAGAGAGACUGGAAAGGACCAGUCAGGGAGUGAUUAGGAGGGCGUGAGAGAGAAAGGCCACAGGAACCAGGAAAGGGACCACAUGUGAGAAGAACUGCAAAGCUCAAGGAUGUUGGACUGUUUGCCUUGCAAUGUCAGGGUUCAGGACACGUCAGGGCUGUUCUGGAUAGAGUGGCAUUGGAGGAAGUCUCCAUCUAUGCCGCAAAUGUUGAGGCCCCCAAUCUGAAGCAGAGUUCCCCACAGUGAGGCCUCAGACAUCCUGCAGACCACUGGAGAUCUUUUUUAUUUUUAAAGAGAUGGAGUCUUGCUCUGUCCCCCAGGCUGAAGUGCAGUGGUGCAGUCAUGGCUCGCUGCAGCCUCCAACUCUGGGCUUAGGUGAUCCUCCUGCCUUAGCCUCCUGAGUAGCUGAGACUACAGGUGCACACCACCAUGCCUAAUUUUUUAAAUUUGCUUUUUGUAGAGAUGGGGUCUCACUCAAACUCCUGAACUCAAGCAAUCCUCCUGCCUCAACCUCCCAAAGUGCUGGAAUUGCACCGCACCCAUCCCUGGGACACUUAUUUAACGUGAGCACUCCUGAGCCUCAGACUGAAAACUGCUAGUUGAGGGCGCUGGCCUGAAGCCAAGUUCCCGACCUUCAGGAGGUGCAUCCACUGCCCUAAGUGUUCCCCGCUCACCCUCCCAAGCCCCCAGGCAGGCAGCUCCUUGUCAGUGCCUGGCUGAGCUCACCCAGGGCCAGACCCUGGGCCUUGGGCACGCUCUGGGGCUGCCCAUUCAUGCCCUGCCUCUUGCUCAGUUUCCAAGUCUGUUUCAUUUGGGAACAAUCUGCAUGCCCUGCUUCCUCACCCCCACCCUGCCUUCUCACAUGAGCCCCUUUCCAAACAGACACACCAGUUAACUGGAGCAUGGGUGCCUAGCCUAGGACAGAAGCUGGUGAAGGGGAGAUGCUCCUGAGAUGGUCCGGGAGCUCAAAGAACAUCCCACCAUUUGGGCUGGGCCUCCCUCAGCUCCUGAAUUGCCAGCUGGUGCCUGCUUGUAUUUCUUCAUGUAGUUUGAGAGGUGGUGGGGCAGAGUGGUUUAGGCUCUCAGGCUCUGAAGGAUGAUGGCUUGGGUUCUAGUCCCAGCCCUGCACUAGAUGGGCAACCCUGGGCAACUCACUGAACCUCUCAGGACCUCAGUUUCUUCAUCUGUAAAAUGGAGUGGCUGACAAUGGCAGCACCUGCAUGAGAGGGUUGCAGUGAGGACUGAAUGAGUUAGAAUAUGAAGUACAUAGAACAGCGAUGACCUCAACAAGUAUUAGCUGCUAUUACUGUAAUAGUUGGCAGUAGAGUUGGUGGUGGUGGUGGUGGUGGUCAUUGUGGUAGUUAGCAUGGGAAUAGCUCCCUGACCCCAGGGCACCGCCCCCACAGACUUCGGUCCUAUGUUCUGUAUCCAUCUCAGAAGACUGGUGUAUUAGUCCAUUUUUACACUGCUGUAAAUAAAUGCCUGAGACUGGGCAAUUUAUAAGGAAAGAGGCUUAAUUAACUCAUAGUUCCACAUGGCUGAGGAGGCCUCAGGAAGCUUACAGUCACAGCAGAAGGCAAAGGGGAAGCAGGCACCUUCUUCACAAGGCGGCAGGAGACAGCGAGCGAAGAGGGAACUUCCAAGCACUUAUAAAACCAUCAGAUCUCGUGAGAACUCACUCACUAUCAGGAGAACACCACGGGGGGAAACUGCCCCCAUGAUCCAAUCACCUCCCUCCUUCAACACAUGGGGAUUACAGGUCCCCCCAUCAAUACUUGGGGAUUACAGCUCCCUCCAUUGACACGUGGGAAUACAAUCCGAGAUGAGAUUUGGAUGGGGACACAGGGUCAAACCAUAUCAACUGGCAAGAAGCCAGAGCAACUGUGAUCUAUUAGGAUAGAUGAGGCUCCUUGUCCGGGCUGUCUGAGUGCGCGGCCUCCCGAGGGAAGGGCUUUAUUUAGACGAAUUAGAGAGAGAGCCAACGCCUCCUCCCCAACUGGCUUUCAGCUCGUCCCUGGCAUGGGGAUGGUGGGUAAUAGAUGAAGAAGCCACCCAGAGCAUUUAGAUGAAAUUAGUGGUGUCCAAAUCUCGAUUGCCCUCCUAAUCAGGUGAUGAAUGUGGCUCCCCACUGCCUAUUUCCACCUGGCUUCCACGCGGCCUUCCCCAGGCUCUCUCUGCAAGCAGAAUCGCUGCAUUCAGGACUCUCCUCUCUUUCCUUGUGUCGUUUACAGCAUUUCUCUUGCUUAAUGGUGGGGAGCUGGAGUAUAGCUUCCCAUUAACUUUUAUCCUUCCCAUAAACAGCCUGCUUAACUCACGAUGACUGUUGUUCCACUCUGUUCCCAGGGUUUGCUCCGUCUCCCUCCCAGCCAGCCUGUUCUCACUGUGUCCCAGCCCACCAAGCCCCACGCCUUGGCUGUCCUGUGCCUGUGGAAGGAGGGAAGCUGGAUUUUACAUUUUAUUUACUGUUUUUUUUUUUUUUUAAAUGCAAGCAAAAGCCUCAAGCCUUAGCUCCAAAACUCCAGGAGGAAGCUGAGGCUGAGUGAUCUGCGCCUGGGAUUUCAGGAGCUUGGAGCCAGGAGAGGGGGCAAGGGUGCAGGGCGCCUGCUCUGGGACAUGGAUCCUGCCAUGUGGGCAUGGUCUCUGGGACUGACCGGAGGAGGGAGAGACACAGGAGGACAAGUGAGGGCCAGUGGCCAAGGUCCCUAGGCCCUGAGUGAAGUAGUGCAGGGAAGGCCACUUUGGGAGGGUGCUAGUGUCCCUAAGCCAGGACUGCUUUCAGGACGGGGGGAUGGAUGUUUAGUCUGAAGAUGGACAGCGAUGGGGGCACAAGUUAUCCUUGUGGAUCCUCCCUUUCUGCUGCAAGUCAGCAGAAGACCUUGAGUAAGACCCUUUUCCCAGAGCCUGGAUUCUGACUGGCCUCCCUGCCUCCACUCUGUCCUCCAUACUGGAGGGGAACAGACCUUCCUAAAAAGCAAAUCUUAUAUAUCAGAUGGUUAGCUUCACACCCUGAUAUGGUUUGGCUGUGUCCCCACCCAAAUCUCAUCUUGAAUUGUAGCUCCUGUAAUCCCCACGUGUCAUGGGAGGGACCCAGGGGGAGGUAAUUGAAUCAUGGGGGUGGGUUAUUCCUAUCCUGGUCUCGUGGUAGUGAGUAAGUCUCACGAGAUCAAUGGUUUUAUAAAGGGCAGUUCCCCUGCACACACUCUCUUGCCUGCUGCCAUGUAAGAUGUGCCUUUGCUCCUCCUUCACCUUCUACCAUGAUUGUGAGGGCUCCCAGCCACUUGCAACUGUGAGUCCAUUAAACCUCUUUUUCUUUAUAAAUUACCCAGUCUGGGGUAUGCCUUUAUUAGCAGCAUGAGAACAGACUAAUACACACCCCCACAUGGCUCCCUCCAGCUCCCAGGCCCCUGAGGCCCUGCCACCCCUGUCCCCUCCCCCUGGUUCUCUAAUUCGAGCCCCACCAGCCUCCUUUUGCCGCCUCAGACAGGCUCUGACCCCUCUGGGCCUCUGUCUGCCAUAGCUGCUGCAUCUUUACCUUGCUAGUUUUUGCUCCUCCUUCAAGGCGCAGCUGUACUGUGGGUUCCUCUGAGUAGCCUCUCUAACCCGCUUACAGGCUAUCCCAGGCCCCCUCAUGCUACUCAAAGGCAUGGACGGGAUGACUCUGGCACCUUCACCACCAUAGCCAGGGCCUAGCAUGGUGCCUGGCACCCAGCAACCUCUUAAUGUGUCAGCACUGAUUUGAAUUCAGGGUCCUACUAGACAACCAAGUCUGCAGCUGCUCUUCCAGGACUUCAGGGGCCCUCAUGGGGGAGAUGAACUAGACAUUUCUUUGUGAUUCCAUAAGGAAUGGAAGGUACAUGGUCCCAACAUAGCAAAGCUCCUCCUGGAAAGCCACCAGUGGGCAGGACGCAGGCAGGAUGUUGGGUGCCAUGGGGCUUGGGAUGCAGGGCCAUGGACACCAGGUGUGACUGAUUAGCCCAGGAGCGCUGAGGCCGUGCCUAAGCCCAUGAUCUGGCGGCUCCUCACCAAGUGACUGAGAAGCACUAGGGUGCUGGCAAGUGAUGGAGAAUUCUAACCUGGUGCUCCAGACCACAGGUAUGGGAGUGUAUUCGUCCAUUUUCAUACUGCUAUGAAGAAAUACCUGAGACUUGGCAAUGUAUAGAGAAAAAGAGGUUUAAUGGACUCACAGUUCCACGUGGCUGGAGAGGCCUCAUGAUCAUAGCAGAAGGCAAAGGAGGAACAAAGGCACGUCUUACAUGGCAGCAGGCAAGAGAGCGUGUGCAGGGGAAUUGCUCUUUAUAAAACCAUCAGAUCUAAUAGACUUAUUCACUAUCACGAGAACAGCAUGGGAAAGACCCGCCCCCAUGAUUCAAUUACUUCCCACUGGGUCCCUCCCGUGAGACGUGGGGAUUAUGGGAGCUACAAUUCAAGAUGAGAUUUGUGUGGGGACACAGCCAAACCAUAUCAGGGAGGAGGUGAGAGGGAUCUUAAAAACUGGGUUUGAACUUGGUAUCUGGCUGCCCUGGAAGAACUGUUCUCAGCCCUGGAGGUACUCCAGAAAUGCAUGUGUGCUCCCUCAUCCUGGCCUGGUUGCCAGAAAGCACUGGUGACCUGGCAGACCUGGCAGGUGUGUGCCCUCCCAGACACUGGCUCUCUCUACCUCUCAUCUCUCUCUUUCUCUCUCCCUCCAUCCUCAAAUAGAAUAGGGAGGCAGGGAAUCAUAGCAGUGACAGCACUAGUUGUAGGAUCAGACAGAAGCAGGUGAGAGAAUCCUGGCUGUGCUACCUUGGGCAAGUUACUUGCCCUCUCUGAACCUUGGCUUUCUCAUCUGUAAAAUGGGUGUAUAGAAGCUCCCCCUUCAUAAGUUGUUUUUGAAGCUUAAUGAGUAAAUGGAAAGAGCUUAGCACAUGCUUUGCAGGGAAUAUAGUGUUCAACCAAAGCCAACACUUAUUAGUCCAUUAGUCAUGAGGCUCAGGGAAAAACAGGGUUACUUUGCUGGGCCUUCUAAGAGUCAGGGAAGCUCUGCUUCUUUUGGAAGACACAGUAUUAUGGGUAUAUGUGGACAAGGAAGAGUCUGUGUCAGUCCUGAUAGGGGGCAAACCUGGCCUGCUCACUUCUGACAAUAAGACCAGCUGACUCUUUGUUAUUAGAACAGGGCUGAUUAUAACAACAGCAAACAUGUUUUAAGUACAUACCAUGGGACAGGCACAGUGGCAUUUAAAAAAUGCAUACAAUUGUUUAAUCCCCCAAAUCACCCUCAGUUUAUCCCCAUUUGUGAUCCCCAUUUCACAGAUGGGAAAAAUGAGGCACAGAGAAGUGAAUUAGGACCCCAGAUCAUACAGCUAAUAGGUGGUAACAAAGCCAGAACUCAAACCCAAGCAGAAUGACUUCAGAACGUACUGUCUCUAUGCUAUCCAGCCAAAGGAUGAUCAAUAGGUAUUUUAUCAACUAGUAGCUCCUGAAUGGAGCACUGUGUUGAGGAUUCAGACUGUGAUUGGGGAGAAAAGUACUGUGAUUGAUUAGUAAUGUCUGCCAUGGGCUGGGAAGGGGAAGACUCAGUUCUGUGCAGGACAUUUAUUCAUCACCAACCACUGCACUAUUGACAUUUGGAGCUAAAUCAUUAUUUGUUGGGGCAGGGUAGGGAGUCAUCCUGUGCAUUGUAGAAUGUUUAGCAGCAUCCCUGGCCACCAGUUACCAGUAGCACUUCGCCCUGCAACCCCAAGUUGUGACAAUCACAACUGUCUCCAGCCUUUGUCAAAUGUCACCUGGGAGGCAAAAUCACCCCCUGUAGAGAACCUUGCACUAGAGCAGGCAGUGGACCGGGGGUAAAAGAGCUCUAAACUUGAAGUCAGGUGACCAACAGUCAAAGCUUGGCUAUGCCACCAAUCAGCUUAUCACCAUGGAAAUGGCCCUUCACCUCUCCAGGCAGCGAAUUCUUAAUAUGUGAAGUGAGUGGGGUGAAGUGGAUGAUCCCAAGGGUCCCUUCUAGAAGUUUAUGAUUAUCUACUAUGAUGCUCCCUCUCUUGCCCAGCCCCUUCAAUUAAAACUCUCAGGUUAUUGGAGCAUAACUUCCCAGAGAUCUGCAGAGGCAAACCAACGGAAAAGCUGAAAUCUGCAGAGAGCUGUUUCGCCCUUUACAGCUCCAUAGUUGUUCCUCAUUAAAAAAGAAAGAAAGAAAUGAAGAAAGAAACAACAACAACAACAACAACCCUUAGUACUGAGGUUUCAUCCAAGCAGCAGUUAUCCAGUAGAUGCAAGGAGGAAAAUCACAGAGACAAUAACUGAAUACCCAUUUCCCUGUGUUAGGAGAGAAAAGGAGCGAUUGGUUGGGGAAAUCUCUCCGGCUCCGUUUAAUUAUGAAUCUCGGCAGGAAGCCUGGAAAAUCCUGGCCCUCUCUGGAACAAAGUGUUGGAGGAGGCGUGAGGCUGGUGCUGUGGGUUCUUGAAGAACUCGCUGAGCCAGAUGAGACCUCAGAUGAGCACCAGCCACAAGCUUCCACGCAGCAUGGGGCUGGUGCUCAGCAUCCUCAUCCCCGAUACAACAUCCUUCCUUUCCCUGGAGCCCUGUGGUCUCCAGGGAACCCAUGCUUAUUUUCGUGUCUUAGAAAGUGUUGCAGACCUGCGCUGAGACAUGGAGUAGAGCCUGGGCUUUGGAGCCCUGGAAAAACAGGUUGGAAUCUCCCUCCCCCAGUGAAGGUACAGCUGGUUGGGGGUUAGAGUUCUGCCGGUUGCAAGCACAUAAACCAACUUCUCUGACUUGAUCCACAAAGAUGACUUUCUUUUUUUAAGACAGGGUCUCAGUCCUGUCACCUAGGCUGGAGUGCAGUGGUAUGAUCUCAGCUCACCACAGCCUCGACUUCCCAGGCUCAGUUGAUUCUCCCACCUCAACCUCCCACAUAGCUGGGACUAUAAGCGUGCACCACCAUGCCCAGCUAAUUUGUGUACUUUUAGUAGAGACAAGGUCUUGCCGUGUUGUCCGAGCUGGUCUCAAACUCCUGGGCUCAAGCAAUCCGCCCACUUCAGCCUCCCAAAGUGCUGGGAUUACAGUUGUGAGGCACCCUGCCCCAUCCCAAAGAGGAAUGUAUCGGAAGGAUGUGGAAGGGUCCCAAAGGAUGGAAGGGAGAGCUUAACAGCCAAGAUGAAGGAAGGAAAGAGGCAGGAGCCUCCAUAUCUGGCAUCCUGGACCACUCAAGAACACCAUUUUAAAAACUCCCGAAAGUCCCUUAGUCCAUGGGUCUCCUCUGUCUCUGAUCCAAAAUAUACACUUCCAAGAGAACCUCUGAUUGGUCCAGCUUGGGCCAGAGGUCUGCCCAGGAGCCUUGGCUGGGGGCAGGGCCAUGUCAUGCAGGGCCAUGGCGGAAGUUCUGUGUGAAGGACUCAUUCCCAGAGAAAGGGGCUCCCCAGUGGUACACCCCUGAGGACCAUCAGAACCUCAGUAUGGGUGUAGUGCAAGGCAGACGGCCCACUCCCUCUCCAUCCACCUUCUGCCCCUCUGAAUCACCUCACAGGUGCUCACAACACAAGAUUCUUAGAGUCUAGGACCCAGAGUGAUGUCUCUGCUUACCACACGAGCUUUGAUCUCCAGGUUCCAGGUUCACAGAGAGAAUUUGGAGGUAGAAAUGGAUUCUCUCCAAGAAUCCUGCUUCCUAAGGGAACCAGAAUGGGCUGCAGACAGGCCUCGGUCCCCGAGUGGAUUUUGUAUCAGAGUCCAGUGCCGUCUCCCUUCUGCUGAUCACAAAGGUGACCUCUCUCCCAAAUCCUCCACUGGCCCCAUUCCAGGCUGCUCCAUUGAAAGGAAACAGCUUUUCGGACCUUGUAGUUCCCUGGACUGCUAGACACAGGUGGGGUCUUGGGGACAGGGCUCCUGCCCCACUGCCUGGUUCUACAGAUGAGCCGACAGAAGGAACAAUGGGCCCGAGUCACUAUGGAAGCCAUUAUCUUCUGUUGGGUCUGAAACAGUGCAGCUCACGGCCCAGCACUCCUCAGGAUGGCUCUCUCCUUGUGGCUGGCAGAGUGUUGCCUGGAGAGAGUGGGGAUCAUGGAGGAUGGUCUGAAAUCACGUAUCUGAGCAGCCCCCGCAGGGGUGUGUGUUCCCGGAAGUGGACUCCACAACUUCAUCAUCUCAGCUUUGAGCUCAGCCACAAUUUUAGGACAAGAGUCCACAGCCUAACACGCCUCAGACCCCUUCCCCUGUCUUCACGCAUGGCACCACCUAAAAUGAUGCUGAUAUUCA
Pan troglodytes (chimpanzee) is the source of this 10439-nucleotide long non-coding RNA. RefSeq lists it as uncharacterized. The record is from RefSeq and is a predicted model, not a curated record. The transcript has 2 exons. NCBI's taxonomy places the organism in Eukaryota, Metazoa, Chordata, Mammalia, Primates, Hominidae.